GCGCAUCUCGUGCAAUGCAUUGCACCGAGCGACAUACUUAUGGCCUGGACUCUGCAAGGGCACAAAGCUUUGGAGUACAUCAUAAUGAAGGCUUUAGCUCAGAACUGUGGGGCAGCGUAUGGAAAUGGCAACUGAAAAGCGGGGACGUUUGGGGAUCAUAUACUUUGCUGGCUGGCUUAUCAAGCAAGCGAACCAGCAUUGUUGACGAGGGUGAAUCAUAUUUCUGACGAUUGUGAAAAAGCUUUGCAUUCCUUGUGAAUUGAAUUGGGCAAUGUAGUCAUAAGCAACUUCGGCUUGUGCACUUCGAGUGUCGACAGUUGAAAAGCAAUCGUCAAACAGUGCAGAUGUGCGGAGGGGCAAUAAAUGCAGGAACUGAAGUCAAGAUAGAUUUGAAACAUUUAAAAUGCGCGCCACAGCAAGUGACGCUAAAACACAUACACGCACACAUAUACGCCAAUAGCAUCUUGGCCAAAAUGAAUGAAAGCGAGCGAAUAUUUGGGUCAGAUUUAGCAUUAGACGAACGACACAUGGGCGUUAUGAUGAUGAUGAUGUAAUGUCGUUAAUAUUCCAUUCGGAAUGUUCUGCUUGUUU
This is a long non-coding RNA of Drosophila hydei, 591 nucleotides long. RefSeq lists it as uncharacterized. Lineage: Eukaryota; Metazoa; Arthropoda; Insecta; Diptera; Drosophilidae. The transcript is spliced from 3 exons. The record is from RefSeq and is a predicted model, not a curated record.